GCAGUCGAGCGAGCUUUCGGGCUUAGCGGCGGACGGGUGAGUAACGCGUGGGAACGUGCCCUUUGGUACGGAAUAGUCCUGGGAAACUGGGUUUAAUACCGUAUAUUCUCUACGGAGGAAAGAUUUAUCGCCAAAGGAUCGGCCCGCGUUGGAUUAGGUAGUUGGUGGGGUAAUGGCCUACCAAGCCGACGAUCCAUAGCUGGUUUGAGAGGAUGAUCAGCCACACUGGGACUGAGACACGGCCCAGACUCCUACGGGAGGCAGCAGUGGGGAAUCUUAGACAAUGGGGGCAACCCUGAUCUAGCCAUGCCGCGUGAUCGAUGAAGGCCUUAGGGUUAUAAAGAUCUUUCGCUGGGGAAGAUAAUGACGGUACCCAGUAAAGAAGCCCCGGCUAACUCCGUGCCAGCAGCCGCGGUAAUACGGAGGGGGCUAGCGUUGUUCGGAAUUACUGGGCGUAAAGCGCGCGUAGGCGGAUUGGAAAGUUGGGGGUGAAAUCCCGGGGCUCAACCCCGGAACUGCCUCCAAAACUAUCAGUCUGGAGUUCGAGAGAGGUGAGUGGAAUUGCGAGUGUAGAGGUGAAAUUCGUAGAUAUUCGCAGGAACACCAGUGGCGAAGGCGGCUCACUGGCUCGAUACUGACGCUGAGGUGCGAAAGUGUGGGGAGCAAACAGGAUUAGAUACCCUGGUAGUCCCACCGUAAACGA
RNAcentral lists this ribosomal RNA (703 nucleotides) under uncultured Pseudomonadota bacterium. RNAcentral's name for it is "bacterial SSU rRNA". It matches the Rfam family "Bacterial small subunit ribosomal RNA", at positions 57 to 809 of the family's 1533-position model. The record is from RNAcentral. Lineage: Bacteria; Pseudomonadati; Pseudomonadota.